CGCGGCCUAUCAGCUUGUUGGUGGGGUGAUGGCCUACCAAGGCGACGACGGGUAGCCGGCCUGAGAGGGCGACCGGCCACACUGGGACUGAGACACGGCCCAGACUCCUACGGGAGGCAGCAGUGGGGAAUAUUGCACAAUGGGCGGAAGCCUGAUGCAGCGACGCCGCGUGAGGGAUGACGGCCUUCGGGUUGUAAACCUCUUUCACCCAUGACGAAGCGUGAGUGACGGUAGUGGGAGAAGAAGCGCCGGCCAACUACGUGCCAGCAGCCGCGGUAAGACGUAGGGCGCGAGCGUUGUCCGGAUUUAUUGGGCGUAAAGAGCUCGUAGGCGGUUUGUUACGUCGUUCGUGAAAACUUGGGGCUCAACUCCAAGCUUGCGGUCGAUACGGGCAGGCUAGAGUUCGGUAGGGGAGACUGGAAUUCCUGGUGUAGCGGUGAAAUGCGCAGAUAUCAGGAGGAACACCGGUGGCGAAGGCGGGUCUCUGGGCCGAUACUGACGCUGAGGAGCGAAAGCGUGGGGAGCGAACAGGAUUAGAUACCCUGGUAGUCCACGCUGUAAACGUUGGGCGCUAGGUGUGGGGGGCCUCUCCGGUUCUCUGUGCCGCAGCUAACGCAUUAAGCGCCCCGCCUGGGGAGUACGGCGC
This 646-nucleotide ribosomal RNA is filed under the name uncultured bacterium. RNAcentral's name for it is "bacterial SSU rRNA". It matches the Rfam family "Bacterial small subunit ribosomal RNA", at positions 232 to 888 of the family's 1533-position model. The record is from RNAcentral.